AAUAACUUUAUAAAAGUAUUCUGUUUUAUAUAAAAAGAUUUUACUAUGCAAAACACUAUGUAUAAUAGAAUAUAAUAUAUUCUAUUUAUAGUAUAAUAAAACGAAUAACUUUAUAAAAGUAUUCUAUUUUAUAUAAAAAGUUUUUCUGUUUUAUUACAUUAAUAAUGCUAAUAAAAUAAAACUUCAUCAUCAUUAUUAUAAUUCACACUAUUAAUCGACUAGGUCAUUCCCA
Molecule: long non-coding RNA, 232 nt
Filed under: Panax ginseng (ginseng)
Lineage: Eukaryota; Viridiplantae; Streptophyta; Magnoliopsida; Apiales; Araliaceae
Description: long non-coding RNA (PGIN_LNC013135)
Source: RNAcentral